Panicum virgatum (switchgrass) is the source of this 1485-nucleotide long non-coding RNA. RefSeq lists it as uncharacterized. Lineage: Eukaryota; Viridiplantae; Streptophyta; Magnoliopsida; Poales; Poaceae. The transcript is spliced from 2 exons. The record is from RefSeq and is a predicted model, not a curated record.
GUACGGAAGAACCUCUCUGAACUCGAGCUCCUUCUCCUUCUUUUCUUUGUUCUCUUGCUUGAUCAAGCUCUCGAACUAAUUAAGUGAGAAACUCAAGUGCUAGCUCACCCACUAAAAGAAAUAAAAAUCUUUAGUAGUAAGGUUAGUACUAGUUUAGUGCUAAUCAACCAGUAAUAAAAAUGAUUGCUUUAGUUGUAAUCACCCUCACUUAAACUAAAACCACAAAAAUUAUUUCUUUAACAAGCAAGGCACGCCGGAACGAUGAACGUUUGUGGUGGAUCAUUCCCCACAAGAACGACCGACUCCCUAAUUUCUCUUGCUUAUUUCCUUCGGGUAUUCGGUGUACUAACAUUUUGCAGAAACCAUGUGGACCAACGUAAGGAACACGGUGAAAAAGCUCGGCUCGUUCCGUUCUAGGAGUUCACGGGAAUCCUCAACAUCCCGGGAUGACAUGUCAGUGGACUAGUUCACCGACUGUCGGCAUCCCAGGAAGAAGACACCUCUGCAGUCCCGAGGAACCGACUCAAAAUUUGUGUCCUGACUAUGGCAGAACAGAUCGUUGUCCGGACCGAUUAUGAGCGGGAUGCCCUUGAGCUGUUGAAGGGGCAGACCUUCGGCCACGCCAAGAUGUUUGUAUCCCUCUUCCUCAUUAAGAUGGGAUUGAAGCAUGACGUGAACCACGUUUUCACCGCAGCGGGCUGGGAAAAUUUUGUCGACAUCACUGAGACAGGAGAUCACACGCCAAAAAUGGACGAAAUUGGGUAAAACCCAGGCCGGCCGGCUUGACAACUCAACAUACAGGGGUGCGUCUUCAUUACAGGAGCAACAUGACAUGUUUACAAUGCCCCUGGAUCGAGGAUUGGGACUUGAUUCAAUCAAAGAACCCGAAAGGCAUAGCCAUGGAUCAAAUGGUCCACAAGUCAGAGUCAACACAAGCAAACGUCGUGUGAUACCCAUCCCUAGAGCAAGCACAAGCGUUGAUAUCCAAUGUCGGGAAAAUGGAGGGUUGAGAGGCAUCAAAGGCAGGCCGUCCAGCCUCCCUCAGGCCUCCUGACCUAAAAUCUCGUAAUUUGGACCGAGAUCCACUGAAACCGACAUCCAGGAGGGAUCAGGACUGCCUACCAGAAAGGCGGUGCCAGAUGGCACUACCCCAGGCUGACCGGCCUAGGGGAGGCAGGCCAACACCACCUGUCAGCUUCUGGACCUCCUCUUUCGCGUGAAGUUCAAGCCAAGUAAGGGGUUGCUUACAACUGCAGCUACCAGCCAAAUACCGACCUAGAACUAGUAUAAGUAGGCCACCAUCCAUCACUUGUAACACACACCAAAGGAGUUCUCUUCUCUCUUUCAUAUAUAGAUUAGGUUAGUAGUUUAGAGUUAGAGUCGAGUCGAGCUUGUCUUGGGAAUCCGGAGUCGUCAUCGGAGCUCGAUAUAAGCUCUUGUAUCUUUUCCUUUGACUUUAUUAAUAUAAGUAAUCUUUUUCAUUUA